RNAcentral lists this long non-coding RNA (312 nucleotides) under Homo sapiens (human). Its description in RNAcentral is "non-protein coding lnc-ASF1A-3:2". Lineage: Eukaryota; Metazoa; Chordata; Mammalia; Primates; Hominidae. The record is from RNAcentral.
AAUUAUCUCAUUUGUUUUUUCUGACAACAUAAUAAGAAAAAGAAAAACAUCCAUUCAUGAGAGUUCAGGGAUACGUGAAAAUGAAGCAAAUGAGGAAAGACCCAUUCACAUUCCUCCAAAAGAUCUGUGGCUCACUGGAAUCAUGUUACUGGCUCCUGGUAGUCCCUGACUUUACCUGUUUGUUCCAGGAACUUGCUUUAUGGCCAUUUGUUCUAAUGAUCAGUUUGGACAACCAACCUUUAUUCCUCCACCUCAGACAAUAUUCAACAUCCUGUAAUCAUCAUAGCGACAAACUGUUAAAACAACAACAGC